RNAcentral lists this ribosomal RNA (261 nucleotides) under uncultured archaeon. RNAcentral's name for it is "partial 16S ribosomal RNA". It matches the Rfam family "Archaeal small subunit ribosomal RNA", at positions 748 to 1013 of the family's 1478-position model. The record is from RNAcentral.
UAGCCGUAAACGAUACUCGCUAGGUGUCGGCCACGGUGCGACCGUUGUCGGUGCCGUAGGGAAGCCGUGAAGCGAGCCACCUGGGAAGUACGGCCGCAAGGCUGAAACUUAAAGGAAUUGGCGGGGGGAGCACCACAACGGGUGGAGCUUGCGGUUUAAUUGGAUUCAACGCCGGAAAUCUUACCGGGACCGACAGCAACAUGAAGGCCAGGCUGAAGACUUUGCCGGAUUAGCUGAGAGGUGGUGCAUGGCGUAGUCGUG